Molecule: ribosomal RNA, 465 nt
Filed under: uncultured bacterium
Lineage: Bacteria
Description: bacterial SSU rRNA
Rfam family: Bacterial small subunit ribosomal RNA
Source: RNAcentral
GGCCAGACUCCUACGGGAGGCAGCAGUGAGGAAUAUUGGUCAAUGGGCGCAAGCCUGAACCAGCCAAGUCGCGUGAGGGAAGACGGCCCUACGGGUUGUAAACCUCUUUUGCCGGGGAGCAAGCCUGAGCACGUGUGCCCAGGCGGAGAGUACCCGGAGAAAAAGCAUCGGCUAACUCCGUGCCAGCAGCCGCGGUAAUACGGAGGAUGCGAGCGUUAUCCGGAUUUAUUGGGUUUAAAGGGUGCGCAGGCGGGCUGUUAAGUCAGCGGUCAAAGCCCGGGGCUCAACCCCGGCUCGCCGUUGAAACUGGCAGUCUCGAGUUGGAGAGAAGUAUGCGGAAUGCGCGGUGUAGCGGUGAAAUGCAUAGAUAUCGCGCAGAACUCCGAUUGCGAAGGCAGCAUGCCGGCUCCACACUGACGCUGAGGCACGAAAGCGUGGGUAUCGAACAGGAUUAGAUACCUUGUA